RNAcentral lists this transfer RNA (69 nucleotides) under Sinotaia quadrata. RNAcentral describes it as "tRNA-Val". Lineage: Eukaryota; Metazoa; Mollusca; Gastropoda; Architaenioglossa; Viviparidae. The record is from RNAcentral.
GAAGAUAUAACAUAAAAUGUAAUGUAUUUCGUUUACAGCGAAAUAAUACUUAAUUAUAAGUUAUUUUCA